RNAcentral lists this transfer RNA (69 nucleotides) under Fundulopanchax gardneri (blue lyretail). RNAcentral describes it as "tRNA-His". It matches the Rfam family "tRNA". Rfam says of the family: Transfer RNA (tRNA) molecules are approximately 80 nucleotides in length. Their secondary structure includes four short double-helical elements and three loops (D, anti-codon, and T loops). Lineage: Eukaryota; Metazoa; Chordata; Actinopteri; Cyprinodontiformes; Nothobranchiidae. The record is from RNAcentral.
GUAGAUAUAGUUUAAACAAAACAUCAGGUUGUGAUCCUGAAAUCAAGGGUUAAAAUCCUUUUAUCCACC